GACGGAAGGUGCAAGCGUUGCUCGGAAUCACUGGGCGUAAAGGGUGCGUAGGCGGCUUGGUGGGUCUGGUGUGAAAGCCCCGGGCUCAGCCCGGGAAGGGCGCUAGAAACUGCCGAGCUCGAGUGCCGGAGGGGAGAGUGGAAUUCCUGGUGUAGCGGUGAAAUGCGCAGAUAUCAGGAGGAAUACCGGUGGCGAAAGCGACUCUCUGGACGGCAACUGACGCUGAGGCACGAAAGCGUGGGGAGCAAACAGG
RNAcentral lists this ribosomal RNA (253 nucleotides) under uncultured bacterium. RNAcentral's name for it is "partial 16S ribosomal RNA". It matches the Rfam family "Bacterial small subunit ribosomal RNA", at positions 524 to 776 of the family's 1533-position model. The record is from RNAcentral.